Molecule: ribosomal RNA, 233 nt
Filed under: uncultured bacterium
Lineage: Bacteria
Description: partial 16S ribosomal RNA
Rfam family: Bacterial small subunit ribosomal RNA
Source: RNAcentral
UGAGUAACCUGCCCUUAACUCUGGGAUAAGCCUGGGAAACUGGGUCUAAUACCGGAUAUGACUCCUCAUCGCAUGGUGGGGGGUGGAAAGCUUUUUGUGGUUUUGGAUGGACUCGCGGCCUAUCAGCUUGUUGGUGAGGUAAUGGCUCACCAAGGCGACGACGGGUAGCCGGCCUGAGAGGGUGACCGGCCACACUGGGACUGAGAUACGGCCCAGACCCCCUAGGGAGGCAG